GGGGGUAUAGCUCAGUUGGGAGAGCGAUACGUUCGCAACGUAUAGGUCAGGGGUUCGAAUCCCCUUACCUCCACCA
Molecule: transfer RNA, 76 nt
Filed under: bacterium
Lineage: Bacteria
Also listed under: 8 other names
Description: tRNA-Ala
Rfam family: tRNA
About the family: Transfer RNA (tRNA) molecules are approximately 80 nucleotides in length.
Source: RNAcentral